This 987-nucleotide long non-coding RNA is filed under the name Marmota monax (woodchuck). The record is from RNAcentral. Lineage: Eukaryota; Metazoa; Chordata; Mammalia; Rodentia; Sciuridae.
CAGAAACCAACAGUAUAUACUUCACAAUUUUUGCUCCAAGGAUCCACUUUAGACCUCAAAUACAGCUCAUUUUUUUUGGGUGUGUGUGGUUUAAAGAAAGUUUGAUGAAAGAGACUUUAAAGCAACAAAACAAAACAAACAAAAAACUAGGAUUUGCUAAUCUCUUUCCAAAUUGGGUGCUUUGGCUAAGAAAUCAAAUACCUUACAGUAAAUUGUGGUUCAUUAUGGGACACUUUAUAGAGUUGUACUGAUAAUUACAUGUGAGUAAGCACCUAAAUACUACUGUCAAACUUAAUAGGUAAUUUUCAUUUACUUUCCAUGCUAUUUAAUGUUUAUACUAUCUUUGUAAUUCAUAUAAUCUGAUUUUAAAAAAGUAAUUUAACAUCUUCCAACAUAAAUGUCUAAAUUUAAAUUUAUUUUAUAUAUUACAUUUUAUAGAGUCUGCAUUAAUGAUAAUGAAAAAAUAUAAAAUAAAAUGAAAGUAAAUCAAACAUAAUUUUUAGUGGUGAGAGAUCACUGUUAUUCAUUUGUUGAUGUAUUUGAUAUGAAUUUUACAUCUAGUUACAUGGCUGGGAUAAUGUAUGGAUGCUAAAUUUACUUCUAAAUUUUAUUCUUUUAAAUUACAACAUAUUUUGUUCAUUUUCUCAUGUAAAUAUGUACAUACUUGUAUUCUUGUUUUAUUUUUCAUUGAUAAACUCCAAGUCCCUGAUAUAGAACCUUUAGGUAUUAGACACACAACAAUAUUUAUUUUGUGAAUGAAAUACUUAUCUUUGUUAUUCUAUUGUUUGGAUUUUCCACAGAUUAUUUAACAAAAUACACAUUUUUUUAAACAUAUGUAUGACAGUGGACCAAUUUUUAUUUCCUAAAAUUUCUGUAUUCCUAAGAGAAUAUUUGAUACAGUUGGAUUAACUGGAGUCAAAGUUUCAGAUUCAAGAACUGGAUUUUUUAUCCCAAUGACUCUUAAAUUUGGUCUCUUGAUGGGAGCUC